Molecule: long non-coding RNA, 9216 nt
Filed under: Capsicum annuum
Lineage: Eukaryota; Viridiplantae; Streptophyta; Magnoliopsida; Solanales; Solanaceae
Description: long non-coding RNA (CANN_LNC018662)
Source: RNAcentral
AAAAAUGUUUAAGAGUUUGUCGGAUUUGUUAUUGAGCGAAAAUUAUCACAUGAGUGAAGGUACGUGGUAAGACGAGGUAAAAAUGAUAAAAAAUGACUUUAGUGAAGGACAAAAUUAUGUGUCUACAACAUGCCCCUCUUUGGGUGUAAACACAAAGUGUUUUCAGAAAAAGAAGUAGACAACGAGAUCGAAUUUGGACCCAAUCAUUAUUUGAAGAAAGGAUACAAAAAAGGACAGACUACCACCGAGUCUUGAUUUAGGACAUCUUACCUGCUUCAAGUUAUGUGAGAGUCAAGUCACAGGUAUCUCAAAGAGCUGGAAGAAAAAGAACUAUGCCGAAUUAAAGAGUUAAGUGAGGUCCUGUCGAGGUUCUAGUCCGUGGCUCUGUCAUUACAUCAAAAAUGAAAAUUACAAGUUAAAACAUAAAAUAAAUUACAAAAAUCCUAUCUAUGCAGCUUCUUUUGGACUCUUGACUUUGAGUUUCAUCACCUUAUUCUCCAGGCGAGCUCCCGACUUGCAAUUUCAUUAUAUUGUUGCUUGGCUUUCAAUUUCUUCACCCUAUUCUCUAGGCGGACUCCUAACUUGCUAUUUCUUCAAUCUGUUGACUUUCCAUUUCUUCACCUUGUUGCUUGACUUCAACUUCUUCACCUUGUUGCUUGGCUUUCAACUUCUUCACCUUGAUGCUUGACUUUCCAUUUAUUCUCCCUGCUCUUCAGGCGGGUUCCUGAAAUCAAAUAAAAACUAGAAAGAAAAUUAUUCCAAACCAAGAUUAUUAUAAAGAGAGAUUCCAUUUACCAGAAAAGUAAAGUCUCAAACAAUAGGAAUUACAUUUUUGUCUCAAUUUAUCAUCAGAGGACUUUUGUGAAAGUCAUAUCAUAACUACUUGAACAAACCAAACAAAAAAAUACAUCUUCUAUGGGUUACAAUGAUUCGACUAGAAAGUGCAUUUUCUAGGAGUCAAAGGGAAUGACUUGACUAGAAAGUACAUCUUCUUGGAAUCAAGGGGACUAACUUGACUAGGAAGUACUUCUUUUAGGAAUCAAGGGGAAUGACUCGACCAGGAAGUACAUCUUCUAGGAAUCAAGGGGACUGACUCGAUCAGGAAGUACAUCUUCUAGGAAUCAAGUGGACUGACUCGACCAGGAAGUAUAUUUUCUAGGAAUCAAGGGGACUGAAUCGACCAAGAAGUACAUCUUCUAGAAAUCAAGUGGACUGACUCAACUAGGAAGUACAUCUUUUAGGAAUCAAGGAGACUAACUCGAUCGGGAAGCACAUCUUCUAAGAAUCAAGUGGACUAACUCGAAUAGGAAGUACAUCUUUUAAGAAUCAAGUGGACUGACUCCACCGGGAAGUACAUCUUCUACGAAUCAAGGGAACUGACUCGAUCGGGAAGCACAUCUUCUAGGAAUCAAGUGGACUGACUCGAAUAGGAAGUACAUCUUCUAAGAAUCAAGUGUACUAACUCGACCGGGAAGUACAUCUUCUAGGAAUCAAGGGGACUGACUCCACCGGAAAGUAUAUCUUCUAAGAAUCAAGGGGACUGACUCAACUAGGAAGUACAUCUUAUAGGAAUCAAGGGGAAUUACUCGACUAAGAAGUACAUUUUUUAGGAAUCAAGGGAUAUGACUCGACUAGGAGGUACAUCUUCUAAGAAUAUAGACUUAAGUUAGGAAGUACAUCACCUAACAAUUAAAAUUUGAAUUACCUAAUCAAGGAAGUGCGUCUCCUUAUCAAUGUCGCUUGAAUUACCAAAACAAGAAAGUGUCUCCUUACCAAUGUCGCUUGAAUUAUUCAAACAAGGAAAUACAUCUCCUUACAAAUAUCUCUUGAAUUACCCAAACAAGGAAGUACGUCUCCUUACAAAUGCCGCUUGAAUUACCCAAACAAAAAAGUGUCUCCUUACAAAUGUCGCUUGAAUUACCCAAACAAGGAAGUGUGUCUCCUUACAAAUGCAGCUUGAAUUACCCAAAUAAUGAAAUGCGUCUCCUGUGCAGCAACAUUUCCCCCUUGUAUUUGUAGAUGUGAGAAAUUACGAUCUUUAAUGUUUAGGCUUUGAAGUCCUUGAUUUAAAGGUAACAUGUUUCCUGUUAAUCAAAGAAAACUUGUGAGUUUAAAAUAGGGUGGUUGGUUUGCGGCUUUGGCUUUUAAGGCCAUUGCUCUUGCGCUGGUCACAUUCAAUCUUACUUCCAACCAUUGGCAUUAUCAUUGAUUUGCUGCAGCAUUGAUCUAAACUCGAAUCAUUAAGAGUGACUCUGACGCAAACACAAUAUCUCUGUUGUUGCUAUGUUCCUCAAACACAUCCUUUGAACUUUGAUAUUUCCAUGAAUCCCCAAACUUGCUUAUUGAAAAAAUUUAUGCAUGCUUUAGUUCCGCUCACAAUUAUGUUUCUUUCGUUUGCUGGCUUUUUGUCUUGCUUUGUGCAAUUGAAGAAGUUGGUAGACAGUUUUGAAAUCUUUUCUCACUUGUUUUGACAUGAACUUGACUCAAAGACAAGAGAAAAAUGACGAUGAUUUUUUUAUUUGGAUAACUGACUCACGAAAAUAAAACAAAAAUAAAGUGAAGAAAUAAAUGUCGCCAUUUAAAAAAGAGAAAAGAAAACUUAUAUGAAAAUGAAAGUCAACUCUAAUGAUUAUGACAUGCAUUUUGGAUUAAGCUGCUUAAUCUUUUAAUCCAAACUUUUCACCAAUUGUUGUUGAGUUAAUGGCCCUAAACUGAGUUGUUUUCUUGGGAGACCUCAUUCGACUAGUGAUGCCUUUGAGGAUUUUUGCCAACAAGCCUUUCUCAUUUUCCUUCUCUCAGUUCACCAUUGUCCAAUGGUGUCCGUGAGGGUUUUUCACCAAUGAGACUCUCUUAUUUUCAUUUCUCUCAACUCACAGUCGUCUUAUAGUGCCCGUAAGGGUUUUCACCGAUAAGACUCUCUCAUUUUUAUCUCUCUCAACCUACCAUCAUCUUAUUGUGCCCGUAAGGAUUUUCACCAAUAAGACUCUCAUUUUUAUUUCUCUCCUGAUUCCUUAUGCUGAGGAAGACAAAUAGUUCCCAAACAGCAUUAUCAUAUGCGUUGUAUGCUUAGCCUUAUCAUUUUCAAAUAUUGAUUUGAAAGUCUUUCUUUGGUUGUAACUUGACUUUUAGAUAAUGUUAGAAAGAAAAGAUGACAUGAGGCCCAAACGACACUUGAAGUGGGGUGGGACUUAAAACUUUUAGAAUCGACUCAAACAAUAGAAAUUAACACAUGCCCCAAUUUCUUUAACUGGGUAAUUCUAAAUUAUUCAUUUGAUUUGAUCGUAAUCAUAACUCUCAAAAUCAAUUCGAACAAUGGAAUUAACCACGCCCCAGUUUCUGUAAUUGGGUGAUUCAAAAUUAUUUAUUUGGUUGGCUUGAACCCAGAGUAGGAUUGCCUACGUAUCUCACCCCCGAAAGAGGAGAAACAGGUCAAACGUAGUUCCGACAACUUAUUCUUUUGCUUGACUCUGAUUUUUUUCUUCUUUUUUCUCUUUUAUUGCCUCAUUUUCUUUUUGAAACUUUUUCUGACUCUAUUUUUCUUGGCACUCAUCACUUUUCUUUCUUUUUGACACAUUUUUCUUUUUUAAAAAAAAAACUUUUCUGACUGAGGGGUAUGAAACAAAUAGAACUAAAGCUCAAAUAGAGCAAACAAAGGAUGACACAAUGUUUAGAUAGCAGAAUGAAAUGUCUUCGACAUAUCAAUCCAUGAAAAUGCAAGUACAUAUCAUGUAAUAUGAAAGUGAAAAAUGAAGAUCAUUUGUGACAUUUUUACAGCACUAACUUUAACUGAGCUUGUGCAUCACUACUUCUUCUGCGCUUUGUCUAGCAUACAACUUGGUUGUAAAUCCCUUACAUCGAAUGACUCAUUCUUUUGUGGAGCUGAUUUUCUUUCUGUUCCUCUUGAUAUAGGAUCACGCAUCCACUGUUUAACCUAAUUCAGACAUGUCUUUCAAUUGGUGACCAAGCUAUUCUUUUGAUUCUCAAAAUAAUUGUCUUAAUUUUCAAAGAACACUUCAACUUGUCACCAAAUGUCUCAGCAUUAUACCUAUUUUCUCAGAUGUUUUCUUCUAACUUUAGCCCUCUGAUUUAAAGUUCAUGCUUAAACUGGAUUUUAAAAUCUAGCUGAAAAUUUCGCCAGCAUAUCAUAUCACUAAAACCACCAUAAAAUAUACCUAUGUAAAGAAAACAAACAAACAACACAUAUUUAAAACACAAAGGCAAAAGGGACACUCCAUUUAGUUAAAAUGAAAAAUAGAAGGGUUUGAACAUAAACAACAAAGGGACAAAACAAGAUACAUCCCGAACUACAAUCCUGAAAUAAUUCGGAUAACAGAAAAAAGAAUAAACCAGACCUCUUCCUAGUAGGGAGAGGAGUAACUUCUCAAUUGCUGAGCCUGACAUUUUAGCCACUGGUUUGCAUUUCAGCAUGACUAGAGCUUUCACCACUGUCUGACACAUUAUCUUCAACAAAUAAGUUCUAGAUCUCCAUGCUUAACUCAUUGCUUCUCACAUAUUGUGCAUUACCGUGCCUUAUUGAAUGAUUCUGUAUAUGUGACCUUUGUAGUGUCAAUGUUUUAUGCUACGAUCAAUUUUUUUUGAAUCAUCCUUUAUAGUUCUCUUUUCAAAGCACUACAACCCUUAAUACUGUGACCCUGAACAUUAGAAUGAUAUGCACCUCAUACAUAAGGAUCAAAAUUUCUUGAAUAUGGAUCAAGAGUACACCCAAAGAGAGGAGUGAUCCCAACUCUCUCAAUCUCUGAAAUAAAUAGGCGUAUGAUUUCCCAUUUGGUGUAAAAUUAUCCUUUGACUUCCUCCUCUUUGCAAACUCAGGCCUCGAUUGAAACUUGGACUUAGAAGUUCCUUGGUAAAUAUAUGGGGCUCAAGGACGAUGUUGAGGGACCGAUGCACCCUAUUGUGGAUAAGAAGACGAAUGAGUAUACAGUUGUGCAUUGUUUAAGGAAUACUGAGGAAAUGGAAUGAAAUAUCUUGAAUUUUACAAAGAGGAACCUUAUUGCAGGUGAGCAUGUGGAUUUGAUGUGUAAGCUCGGGAUUGAAACUGAAAAUAUUGUUGAGUUGGAACUGUCGAGCUCUGCUUUUCUCCUGGAACGAAAAUAGGUACGUUUUUUUUUUCUUGCCUUCGGUCUCCCUCAAUUGAUGGCAAUAUCUUCCUAAGUGUUUUACAGAAUUCUCGUACCCAGCAUGUUCCUCAAAUUCAGAUAUCUUAAACUUAGGAGAGAGGUUAACACUUGAAAACAUGCCCCAAUCUUUAUAUGAAACAUUUUCUUUACCUGCAGGUCCUAGGAAACUUUUCAUAGCAUUUUCUGCACUCUUCAUUUUUCCAACCAUUUUCUCUUGCUCUUCUGGCAUGCCAGGCUUCUUGGCAUAAAAUUUUGGUGGUCCCAUUAACUUAAAUAUAGGCUCAGGAGUAUAGCAGUGAUCAUCAAGAGUAUUGAUCAUGGGUUCACUAGCGGCAUAGGAAAGCACAACCGUUGAGUAUUGAUCAUGGAUUCACUAGCGGCAUGGGAAAGCACAACCGUUGGGUGGAUGUCCAAGGUGGAAGCCUCAAUAGAGGAUUGAGCAACAAAAUCACAGACAAUAAUGGGGUUGUGAAUGUAGUAGGCUUAUACUGAGAAGCUAGAGAAAUGAUGGUGGAAGUAUUGAGAGGCAGCUGGCGUGGAAUAAAUUUUGAGGCAUGUUGUAGUGCAUCAACAAUAGUAGAAAACUAACUUUGCGAUUUUGGUGGAAGACUCAAGGUAUUUGUAAGACCAAUAGUGGGAAAUGGAGGAGGAGGCAACCCAAUGGCCCAAGCUCGGUGCAUUUCUGUCAUUUAUUGUCUUAAUCUCAAACUCUCUUACUUUAAACUCUCAUUUUUUUGAAUCUUUGUCUGAUUCAUGAUGUCACUCUAUAUCCAUGUUGGACAUGACGAACUCUCCCUUAGACUUGGUGUGAUGUGGAGGACCAGUCAGGAUGUCACAAACCAACCACCUUAAACUAACUGAACAAGAGAUAACAAAUGUGUUAGAGUUCAAUACUUUUUCAAAACUUCUUCUUUCCUUUUUAAAAAGAUCACUGAACCCUAGAAGGGCGCCUACGUAUCUCACCCCCGAGAGGAAAGAAUCAGGUGUGCGUAGUUCGUGAAGUUUGACCAAAAAAUGGUCAGACAAACUCUUUUUCUUUUUCUUUUGUUUUUUCUUGAAACUUUAAGAAGAAAAGAAAAUAACAAAUUGUCAAAAGAAUUGACGAAAAUCUUUUUAAAUUUUUCAGCAUUAACAUCCCUGUACAAAAUAAAACAUAUGAUUACUAAAGAAAAAUCUUUUUGGAUUUUCGAUUUUGAAUUUCAUACGAAAGUGAAACUUGAAACUACUAAAAGAAAAUCUUUUUGUAAUUUUCUUUUAAAGAUGUAUAUGACCUCUACUCUAAAUGAAGAGUGAAGAAAAUCUUUUUGAAUUUUUUAAAUAAGAUCACCGAACCCUAGAAGGGUUGCCUACGUACCUCACUCCCAAAAGAGGAUAAUCAGGUUGCGUAGUUCGUCCAGAUUGGACAACUAGAGAUUAACUAAUAAAUUGAUCCUAACUUGAGAGACAUGACCAAAAGACAGACGAUGAACAACGUCAUUAAAAUCUUUUUGGGGGGUUUUUAAUUAGACACUUCACAUAAAACUGACACCAACAACUAUGAAAGAAAAAUCUUUUUUCUUGGUAUUUUUGUUAUAUGAAAUGUACAAAACUUCUACCAUCUUUUUGAAUUUUCUUUUUUAUAAAAAGCUCAUAUUAAAAUUCUUUUUUUUUAAUUUUCAACUUAUGAAUGCUUGCUAAAGAAACAAAGGAAAUUUUUUUUUAUAUUUAAUUUUUUUUUUUAGAAGAUUGGUGCAAAAGGUAAGAAAAAUCUUUUUUUGAAUUUUUAGAUUUUGAAAAACAAAAAUCAUAAAGAACUCUAAAAACUACGAAACUUUUUUUUGACUCACUUUGUCUUUUUUCCCUUUUUUUUUGAAUUUUUCAUUGCCUCCAUACUUUUCUUUAAUUCUAGCACAUGUUUUUUCUAAAUCAGUCCGUCAAAUGAUCAUGUUACCUUCAGAUAUGCAACAAUUAUUAUGUAGGGAUGCUUUAGAGGUGAGUCUCCUACAAAGGACCAAGUGGAUCCCGCUAGGUCUCAAUCUAAUGCAGAUAAGCAUGACCUAAAGGCUGACGUACGUUGGGAUCCACUAACAAGGCUGUUCGGGGAAGCGUAUGGUUGAUAGUGGCUAUGACUGCUUUCCACCUACUCCAUACCGGCCAAUGGCUCCCCCUCCUAAAAUAAGGGUGACCAACUAAAGGUCGUGUACACAGCGUGUACUACGGACUUGUUACGAAAGAAAUGACCCAUAUUAUGCAAAUGAUGACAGAUAUAAAACGGUAACACAUAAGAGAAAAAUUAUAAACACGUAGCACGUAGGCACUCAACAAUGAUAACACAAAUACAAACAAUAACACACACAACGUCUAUACACCCAUAAUGUCAAACUAAGCCGAUACAACUCCAAAAAAUAAGCUCGAAUUCUGAAAAUCCCCAGCAGAAUCACCAGAGCUAUUACACCCCUUUUUUAACCAAAAGAUUAAUUUUUAAGUUUGAAAGAGUUUUAUUAUUAAGUGACAAAAGAUAAAAUUUAUUUCGAAAAAGAUUAUUUACAUUUAAACUCAGAGUCUCCACUUGGCAUAAAUUGGGUGUGCCAAGUCACAUUUGGAAAUCCUUUUUCAAAAUAGUUUUAACUCUAAAAACUUAUCCACAAACAGAGAUUCUAGUUAAGAAAUUCUGUUGACCGAGGAGAAGGUGUUAGGCACCCCUCGAUCCCGUGGUUCGACCACGAUCGCUUCGCGGAGUAUAUCGGCUAUCAUGACAUUAUGAAUGUAUAAAUCAACAAACUCAUAAACACGGAAAACAGACAACCAAACACUCAAAAGUCCGAAAAAUAGUGUCUAGUCCCAUUUAAUACAUACCAAAAUAAAAAAGUGCAAAAAUGAACCUAUACUAAUCUAUACUAAUCCUAAACUACGCUUCACCCGAUGCCCCAGCUCUUGAUCACGAACCUGCUUCGCGUACAUGAUACUUAAGGGCAUUCCCCGGCGAAUAAAUACAAUUUACUCAGGGUUUUUCCCGGCCAAAUAAAUACAAAAAAUUCAGAAGCGAUGAAGCAAAAGCCAUUCAACACAUUCAAACAUUCAACAAUCACAAUCCCUAUGUGUUGCCUGCCCCGAACCUAAAAUUUGCCUAUCGAUUCUCAGCCUAAAAUAUGAUACUAUCGGGUAAAAAUUAAUAGCAAACAACCAAUUAAUCAAACUCCUUGCAUUAUGAAUCAAAAUUUUCAACAUACACCUUUAUCAAUUUCUCAAUUUCCUCCUCAAUAACGAGAUAUCAUUUCAUUACACAAAUCAUAACCCAAAGGAAUCAAACAAAUCAAACAAGUAGCAAUUCAUCAUCAACCAAGAUAAAUGAACACGCGAUAUUCAAUCCAACACAUCGAAUAUAAUAAACGAUGAAAUAAAAAGAGGAAGAGAAUUGAGUUGGACCUCGAUUGGAGCUUUUAUUGUGCCAAAUUAUGUGAUCGACGGACAAAACCGGAUUCGAACCUCAAUCUCGAACUAACCGAACUCGGUAUACCCUUUACUACUUUUGCCAACACGAACCAGUGACCGCGAAAAAAUAAAGACGAAGCCAGCAUCCGCUUAUGCGAUCGGGUCGCCAAAUUUUGUGGUUUUUUUGGCUAACUUUUGGGAUGCUUUGACGCAUUUUCGACGAAUCCAUCGCCGGAACAGUAACCAGAACGCGAGACUCGUGUUUCUCCCUCAACUCUCACUUCGUCUCACGCCAUCUCUCCCUCUAUCUCUCUCAGUUUUCUCUCUCGUUGUUUCUCGAUCAAAUCUCUCUAUUUUUUCUUUCUCCGAUCAGUUCUCUUUCUGUUUUCAGUCCUAAACCUCACAAUUCCCGUGUCUCUCUCACUGUGUGUCGUUGUGUCCAUAGCUGUGUGUGCGUCGGUGUUAAUCCAUGGAGAAUGAAGCUUUUUUUUUUCUUCAAUGGUGGGUCUGAGAGUAUUCUAUGAGAGUAUUGUGUGUGUAUAUGAAUAUCUCUGUCUGUUUUCUUAUUCCAUGGAAAAACCCGAGUAUAUAAUGGGUGUCUGUAAUUGUAUGUAGAUGUGUGAGAAUGUGAGAUGGGUAUUGCUGUGUGGCCCCCCGAUGAAAAUUA